Molecule: unclassified non-coding RNA, 391 nt
Filed under: soil metagenome
Description: partial contains 5.8S ribosomal RNA, internal transcribed spacer 2, and large subunit ribosomal RNA
Rfam family: 5.8S ribosomal RNA (bases 1-122)
Source: RNAcentral
GAUGAAGAACGCAGCGAAAUGCGAUACUUGGUGUGAAUUGCAGAAUCCCGUGAACCAUCGAGUCUUUGAACGCAAGUUGCGCCCGAAGCCACUAGGCCGAGGGCACGCCUGCCUGGGCGUCACACGCCGUUGCCCCCCCAUCUACUCCUUCGGGAUUGCGGGGGGGCGGAUGAUGGCCUCCCGUGCGCCUAGCCGCGCGGUUGGCAUAAAUACCAAGUCCUCGGCGACGCACGCCACGACAAUCGGUGGUUGCGAAACCUCGGUUGCCCGUCGUGUGCGUGCGUCGCGCAUCGAGGGCUCGAAAAAAUGCUCGGCUCCGGCUGGGCUUUCAACGCGACCCCAGGUCAGGCGGGGUUACCCGCUGAAUUUAAGCAUAUCAAUAAGCGGAGGA